ACCUGGGUGGCUCAGUAGGUUGAGCAUCUGACUUCGGCUCAGGUCAUGAUCUCACGGUUCGUGGGUUCAAGCCCCACAUCAGGUU
This 85-nucleotide transfer RNA is filed under the name Felis catus (domestic cat). It matches the Rfam family "tRNA". From Rfam's summary of the family: Transfer RNA (tRNA) molecules are approximately 80 nucleotides in length. Their secondary structure includes four short double-helical elements and three loops (D, anti-codon, and T loops). Lineage: Eukaryota; Metazoa; Chordata; Mammalia; Carnivora; Felidae. The record is from Rfam by way of RNAcentral.